CUACACAUGCAGUCGAACGAUGAAGCCCAGCUUGCUGGGUGGAAGAGUGGCGAACGGGUGAGUAACACGUGAGCAACCUGCCCUUCACUCUGGGAUAAGCACUGGAAACGGUGUCUAAUACUGGAUAUGCACAAUGGCCGCAUGGUCUGUUGUGGGAAAGAUUUAUCGGUGAAGGAUGGGCUCGCGGCCUAUCAGCUUGUUGGUGAGGUAGUGGCUCACCAAGGCGACGACGGGUAGCCGGCCUGAGAGGGUGACCGGCCACACUGGGACUGAGACACGGCCCAGACUCCUACGGGAGGCAGCAGUGGGGAAUAUUGCACAAUGGGCGCAAGCCUGAUGCAGCAACGCCGCGUGAGGGAUGACGGCCUUCGGGUUGUAAACCUCUUUUAGUAGGGAAGAAGCGAAAGUGACGGUACCUGCAGAAAAAGCACCGGCUAACUACGUGCCAGCAGCCGCGGUAAUACGUAGGGUGCAAGCGUUGUCCGGAAUUAUUGGGCGUAAAGAGCUCGUAGGCGGCUUGUCGCGUCUGCUGUGAAAACCCGAGGCUCAACCUCGGGCCUGCAGUGGGUACGGGCAGGCUAGAGUGCGGUAGGGGAGAUUGGAAUUCCUGGUGUAGCGGUGGAAUGCGCAGAUAUCAGGAGGAACACCGAUGGCGAAGGCAGAUCUCUGGGCCGUAACUGACGCUGAGGAGCGAAAGCAUGGGGAGCGAACAGGAUUAGAUACCCUGGUAGUCCAUGCCGUAAACGUUGGGAACUAGAUGUAGGGCCUGUUCCACGGGUUCUGUGUCGUAGCUAACGCAUUAAGUUCCCCGCCUGGGGAGUACGGCCGCAAGGCUAAAACUCAAAGGAAUUGACGGGGGCCCGCACAAGCGGCGGAGCAUGCGGAUUAAUUCGAUGCAACGCGAA
Molecule: ribosomal RNA, 905 nt
Filed under: Leucobacter chromiireducens
Lineage: Bacteria; Bacillati; Actinomycetota; Actinomycetes; Micrococcales; Microbacteriaceae
Description: bacterial SSU rRNA
Rfam family: Bacterial small subunit ribosomal RNA
Source: RNAcentral